GGGCUGUAAGAAUUUCGAUAGUUCGCUACGCUUGCACCGUAGAAGGCGGGGUUUGACUCCCCGAUGGUCCACCA
RNAcentral lists this transfer RNA (74 nucleotides) under Pseudomonas phage PPSC2. Its description in RNAcentral is "tRNA-Ala". The record is from RNAcentral. Lineage: Duplodnaviria; Heunggongvirae; Uroviricota; Caudoviricetes; Vandenendeviridae.